RNAcentral lists this microRNA precursor (115 nucleotides) under Pristionchus pacificus. Its description in RNAcentral is "microRNA ppc-mir-239 precursor (ppc-mir-239-2)". Its record names the gene ppc-mir-239-2. The stretch from base 22 to 93 matches the Rfam family "mir-239 microRNA precursor family". Lineage: Eukaryota; Metazoa; Nematoda; Chromadorea; Rhabditida; Neodiplogasteridae. The record is from miRBase by way of RNAcentral.
GGAAGCACUUACUCAUGCAUGCCUUGUUUGUACUAGGCUAAGGAAUUACGUCAUAUUGAAGCGUUAAUUCCUCUAGUCCCGUGCAAUCCAGGCUAUGAAUGCAAUGCUGCGAUCC